AUAGAAAUGAGUUAUUUUGAACAAUGGUAGGGAAGACGUUGAAUCAUCCAGGAAGGCUUUCUGCUUUAAUAUCAAUUUAAACUCAUAUAUUGCCAAAUCCGGACACGUCCGAGAGAACGCCAGCAAUCAAUGAGGGUGCCUCCAUGCUAUAUUCUAACAUUCCUGAUGGCUAGAGUCCUUUGUCACGGAACUGUCACUAGUAUUUGGGCAACAGAGGACUACUUUCAGCCAAAGCAAUACGGCAUGACAGUGAAGAGUGAAGAGAUUAACUUAGCGCCAGGGACAGCUGAGUUUACAAAGACACCUGCAAAGCAGAAGCUACAUGGAGCUAGUAGUGACCAUAUAGUCUCAUUUGCUGGCUGGAUUCAUGUUUCCAUCACAUUAUACACUCCUUAUAUCUAGGGGUUACGACCAACCACCCUGCAAUCCAGUGGCAGUGGUCAUGCAUGCACACUAUAGGUGGCCGGGACCGUGGAGGAGAAUGCAUUAGGCACACAUGUGCAGUAGAUCCUGUUUUGGUCACCUGGUACCUGUGCUGCAGUGGUGGCCGUAACCCCUGAAAAUGAGCAGUGUAAAAUUUGUGAUGGAAAAAUGAAUCCAGCCGGCAAAGGAGGCAAUAUGGACAAUCACAAUACACUAGUAAGUGGCUUGUAUAAACUUUCUCUGCAUAAUAAAUGCAUUUGCUGGAGUGAGUCAACCCCUUUAAUUGUAGAAUUUGGUAGACCACCAAGAAAAUAUGAUAUAGCUCCAGUGCUCUACUUUCAGUUGCACCACUGACCAAUUAAUUGUGUGUCCAAGGAUUUCCAGUUUGUAUAUAUAUUAUGAAGAUCUUUUCACCUCCAUAAUAUCUUCUACUUCACCUGGUUUUGGUCGUUUCUGAAGAACUUUACAGACACUUCCUGAUGUGGCCUUACACUCUGGAAGAAGUCGUCCAAGGCAAAACUCGUAUCAAGACAGACCACGGGAAAGAACUUGGUGCCUUGACUUUCUAUUUUUAUGCCGUCUAAUACAGAAUUUUUGUGCAUAUAAUAAAGCCAGUAUCUGCAGGAUAUUGUGGUCUCACCAUUGGAGGUCUUUUCCCUCUGCUGUUCUCUGUUUGGGAGGUUUAAAAGAUGAGAAAUUCCAUUCCAGUGAAGUGUGGUUAUCUGUGUCAACCUGCACUGAGAAUGCAACUUGUUCCUUCUGGAGUUCUCCUUGAAUGUAGAAGAUCUAUUCUUCGGACUGAAUAUGCAGUUCUUGGAUUAGAGUUAGUCAGUGUUUGGCUUAGCAGUUAUCUCCAGGGUUCUGCUGUGUCAUAACAGGACUAGAAAGUUAAAACCCAGCAGGGACCAUUGCAGUAUCGGAAAAGGAGCAGCAGGAUAUUUUUGAGGUGCAAAUUGUUUUUUUUUUUUUUACUCUACUAACCCACUCUGAGCCUGCUGAAGCCAAUUGUUCCUGCUGGAUUUAAGAAAAAUCUUUUGUAGUGUAACUGUUGUUUGAACUUUAAAAAUAAAGUGUAGGACAGUCAUAUUAAUAACAUUUGUGAUAUACUGUACUUUAUUAGGGGCAGAUGUAUACUUUUAUUAAAAGUGUUCCCUUAGCAACACUGUCCCCUUAGCAUUGCUAAUCAAAAUCUGUCGUCAGCACUCUACUGAAUGUGGCUUAUUUUCAGGUGCAGAGACAGGCUUCUCAGCCUGCCUCUGCUCCCUCUGCCCCAUCCAAUGUCUCCCUAUGUGUAACUAACC
Bufo gargarizans (Asiatic toad) is the source of this 1724-nucleotide long non-coding RNA. RefSeq lists it as uncharacterized. NCBI's taxonomy places the organism in Eukaryota, Metazoa, Chordata, Amphibia, Anura, Bufonidae. The record is from RefSeq and is a predicted model, not a curated record. The transcript is spliced from 3 exons.